AAAUAAAUAAUCUGGUGUAAAGCAGAGAGAGUAAGCCCUGAGCCAGUACUGGGGAACUUUCUGGAGAAGCUGUGCUUGGGUCAGACCUUCUAGGAGCAGGACUUAUGGUCUGAAACAUCUGGACUUUUAAAGAAGGGACCAAGCGUCAAGAAUAUCUGAUGAAUAUUUGGCAGACAGCCAGAAAUUGACAAGCAUGCAGGUCUGCUGGGAAGGCAUCAUGCCAACCUUCCACCAUCAAUGAGCAAGUUCAGCAGAUUAAGAAGUAGGAGAAACUGACUAUUGAGCUCAAGAAGAAAACCUAAAAGCAGAAGCUGUGUUUGAAUAACAGACGAGAUAUGGCAAGCAGUGUGUGAGCUCUCAUCCUGGAUUUUAAUAGAGAGAGAUGCAUUUUCUGUCCUCAGAGGAACACAGAAAGUUGGUCAGCUACAGAAGC
Non-coding RNA from Rattus norvegicus (Norway rat), 433 nucleotides. The record is from RefSeq and is a predicted model, not a curated record. NCBI's taxonomy places the organism in Eukaryota, Metazoa, Chordata, Mammalia, Rodentia, Muridae.